This 292-nucleotide ribosomal RNA is filed under the name Bacteroidaceae bacterium. RNAcentral's name for it is "partial 23S ribosomal RNA". It matches the Rfam family "Bacterial large subunit ribosomal RNA", at positions 2621 to 2925 of the family's 2925-position model. The record is from RNAcentral. Lineage: Bacteria; Pseudomonadati; Bacteroidota; Bacteroidia; Bacteroidales; Bacteroidaceae.
GUGAGACAGUUCGGUCUCUAUCUAUCGUGGGCGUUGGAAAUUUGCGUGGAUCUGACAUUAGUACGAGAGGACCGUGUUGGACAGACCUCCGGUUUACCAGUUGUGCCGCCAGGUGCAUUGCUGGGUAUCCGCGUCUGGAUCGGAUAAGCGCUGAAUGCAUCUAAGUGCGAAGCCGGCCGCAAGAUUAGAUUUCCUUUGAGGGUCGUUGUAGACUACGACGUUGAUAGGCUGCAGGUGUAAAGGUGGUGACAUCAAAGCCGAGCAGUACUAAUUGCCCGAACUUUUCCUUGUG